UGAACGCUGGCGGUAGGCCUAUCACAUGCACGUCGAACGGCAGCACAGUAAGAGCUUGCUCUUACGGGUGGCGAGUGGCGGACGGGUGAGGAAUACAUCGGAAUCUACUUUUUCGUGGGGGAUAACGUAGGGAAACUUACGCUAAUACCGCAUACGACCUACGGGUGAAAGCAGGGGAUCUUCGGACCUUGCGCGAUUGAAUGAGCCGAUGUCGGAUUAGCUAGUUGGCGGGGUAAAGGCCCACCAAGGCGACGAUCCGUAGCUGGUCUGAGAGGAUGAUCAGCCACACUGGAACUGAGACACGGUCCAGACUCCUACGGGAGGCAGCAGUGGGGAAUAUUGGACAAUGGGCGCAAGCCUGAUCCAGCCAUACCGCGUGGGUGAAGAAGGCCUUCGGGUUGUAAAGCCCUUUUGUUGGGAAAGAAAAGCAGCAGGUUAAUACCCCGCUGUUCUGACGGUACCCAAAGAAUAAGCACCGGCUAACUUCGUG
RNAcentral lists this ribosomal RNA (490 nucleotides) under uncultured bacterium. RNAcentral's name for it is "partial 16S ribosomal RNA". It matches the Rfam family "Bacterial small subunit ribosomal RNA", at positions 30 to 507 of the family's 1533-position model. The record is from RNAcentral.